GAAUGUUAACAAGAACUGAAAUAAAGUCAGGGAUUUAAGUCUAAAAGAAGAAAAUCUUCCUGACUACAAAUAUGUCUGGCAGUGUGAUCUAACUACUGGGAGGUUGGACGAAUCCAAAACGGCCAUGAGGAGAAUGGAUGCAACUUAACGUGGACGAUAACCUGAGCUCAAGAUCGAAGCUGGAGCUGUGGGGCUGCACCACCGGACCACCCAUAUAACCUGAUAUUAUUAAGAGGAACUCAAAUGACAUUUAUUAUGAUUUGUAUACACUAAUGAGGGAUGUGACUUCAGUUUGUAUGUCUUGAAUAAACAAAUAAUAUUCUUAUUGUA
This is a long non-coding RNA of Tachysurus fulvidraco (yellow catfish), 330 nucleotides long. RefSeq lists it as uncharacterized. Lineage: Eukaryota; Metazoa; Chordata; Actinopteri; Siluriformes; Bagridae. The record is from RefSeq and is a predicted model, not a curated record. The transcript has 2 exons.